GACGAACGCUGGCGGCGGGCUUAACACAUGCAAGUCGAACGGAAAGGCCCUGCUUUUGUGGGGUGCUCGAGUGGCGAACGGGUGAGUAACACGUGAGUAACCUGCCCUUGACUUUGGGAUAACUUCAGGAAACUGGGGCUAAUACCGGAUAGGAGCUCCUGCUGCAUGGUGGGGGUGGGAAAGUUUCGGCGGUUGGGGAUGGACGCGCGGCUUAUCAGCUUGUUGGUGGGGUAGUGGCUUACCAAGGAUUUGACGGGUAGCCGGCCUGGGAGGGUGACCGGCCACAUUGGGACUGAGGUACGGCCCAGACUCAUACGGGAGGCAGGAGUGGGGAAUAUUGCACAAUGGGCCGAGGCCUGAUGCAGCACCGCCGCGUGCGGGAUGACGGCCUUCGGGUUGUAAACCGAUUUCGCCUGUGCCGAAGCGUGAGUGACGGUAAUGGGGAAAGAAGCACCGGCUACCUCCGU
This 467-nucleotide ribosomal RNA is filed under the name uncultured bacterium. RNAcentral's name for it is "partial 16S ribosomal RNA". It matches the Rfam family "Bacterial small subunit ribosomal RNA", at positions 28 to 506 of the family's 1533-position model. The record is from RNAcentral.